This 140-nucleotide microRNA precursor is filed under the name Pelobates cultripes (western spadefoot toad). The record is from RNAcentral. Lineage: Eukaryota; Metazoa; Chordata; Amphibia; Anura; Pelobatidae.
GCAAAUCAGCAGCAGACCCUCCCUCCCAGACCCUCUCACCUCCUGGACAGCUCACUAAGAAUGCAGCUUCACAAUGAAUGUAAAAUGGAUGCUGUCCAGGAGGUGGGAGGGUCUGGGAGGGAGGGUCUGCUGCUGAUUGG